Molecule: non-coding RNA, 111 nt
Organism: Acanthosepion pharaonis
Lineage: Eukaryota; Metazoa; Mollusca; Cephalopoda; Sepiida; Sepiidae
Source: the annotation of a GenBank genome assembly
UAUGGCCACAUCACAUAGAAGCACCCGCUCUCGUACGAUAACUGAUGUUAAGCCAAGUUGAACCUGGUCAGUAUCUAGAUGCGUGACCGCUUGGAAAUAGCUGGUGCUAUA